RNAcentral lists this ribosomal RNA (258 nucleotides) under uncultured prokaryote. RNAcentral's name for it is "partial 16S ribosomal RNA". It matches the Rfam family "Bacterial small subunit ribosomal RNA", at positions 355 to 607 of the family's 1533-position model. The record is from RNAcentral.
UGGGGAAUCAUGGUCAAUGGGCGAAAGCCUGAACCUGCGACGCCGCGUGAGUGAGGAAGGUCGUAAGAUCGUAAAACUCUUUUCAGGGAUCUUAAAGCCUGUCCGUCAACAACGGGCAGGUCUGACUCUCCCUGGAAGAAGCCCCAGCCAACUACGUGCCAGCAGCUGCGGUAAUACGUAGGGGGCGAGCGUUAUUCGGAAUUACUGGGUGUAAAGGGUAUGUAGGCGGCCCUUCAAGUCGCGCGUCAAAGUCCAGUG